RNAcentral lists this unclassified non-coding RNA (377 nucleotides) under uncultured Alphaproteobacteria bacterium. RNAcentral describes it as "contains 16S-23S intergenic spacer region". The record is from RNAcentral. Lineage: Bacteria; Pseudomonadati; Pseudomonadota; Alphaproteobacteria.
UCCGGUUUGUCACCGGCAGUAUUGUUAAAGUGCCCAACUUAAUGAUGGCAACUAACAACGAGGGUCGCGUUCGUUGCGGGACUUAACCCAACAUCUCACGACACGAACUGACGACAGCCAUGCAGCACCUGUGUGGAACCCAACUAAAUGACUCUCUUCUUUCAAAGAGAUAAAGUUCCCAUGCAAAGGUUGGUAAGGUUCUUCGCGUAGCCUCGAAUUAAACCACAUACUCCACCGCUUGUGCGGAUCCCCGUCAAUUCCUUUGAGUUUUAAUCUUGCGAUCGUACUCCCCAGGCGGAGUGCUUAACGCGUUAGCUAAGAUACUGAAUGCCUAAAACAUCCAACAUCGAGCACUCAUCGUUUAGGGCGUGGACUAC